GAUGAAGAACGCAGCAAAAUGCGAUAAGUAAUGUGAAUUGCAGAAUUCAGUGAAUCAUCGAAUCUUUGAACGCACAUUGCGCCCGCCAGUAUUCUGGCGGGCAUGCCUGUUCGAGCGUCAUUUCAACCCUCAAGCACAGCUUGGUGUUGGGACUCGCGUUAAUUCGCGUUCCUCAAAUUGAUUGGCGGUCACGUCGAGCUUCCAUAGCGUAGUAGUAAAACCCUCGUUACUGGUAAUCGUCGCGGCCACGCCGUUAAACCCCAACUUCUGAAUGUUGACCCCGGAUCAGGUAGGAAUACCCGCUGAACUUAAGCAUAUCAAUAAGCGGAGGA
This 332-nucleotide unclassified non-coding RNA is filed under the name soil metagenome. RNAcentral describes it as "partial contains 5.8S ribosomal RNA, internal transcribed spacer 2, and large subunit ribosomal RNA". The stretch from base 1 to 120 matches the Rfam family "5.8S ribosomal RNA", at positions 35 to 154 of the family's 154-position model. The record is from RNAcentral.